Molecule: ribosomal RNA, 430 nt
Filed under: Pseudomonadota bacterium
Lineage: Bacteria; Pseudomonadati; Pseudomonadota
Description: Proteobacteria bacterium partial 16S ribosomal RNA
Rfam family: Bacterial small subunit ribosomal RNA
Source: RNAcentral
UGGGGAAUAUUGGACAAUGGGGGGAACCCUGAUCCAGCCAUGCCGCGUGUGUGAAGAAGGCCUUAUGGUUGUAAACCACUUUAAGCGAGGAGGAGGGUACUGGUAUUAAUACUACCAGCUACUGGACGUUACUCGCAGAAUAAGCACCGGCUAACUCUGUGCCAGCAGCCGCGGUAAUACAGAGGGUGCGAGCGUUAAUCGGAUUUACUGGGCGUAAAGCGUGCGUAGGCGGCUAAUUGAGUCGGAUGUGAAAUCCCCGAGCUUAACUUGGGAAUUGCAUUCGAUACUGGUUAGCUAGAGUGUGGGAGAGGAUGGUAGAAUUCCAGGUGUAGCGGUGAAAUGCGUAGAGAUCUGGAGGAAUACCGAUGGCGAAGGCAGCCAUCUGGCCUAACACUGACGCUGAGGUACGAAAGCAUGGGGAGCAAACAGG